RNAcentral lists this transfer RNA (68 nucleotides) under Ictidomys tridecemlineatus (thirteen-lined ground squirrel). RNAcentral's name for it is "Spermophilus tridecemlineatus (thirteen-lined ground squirrel) tRNA". It matches the Rfam family "tRNA". Rfam says of the family: Transfer RNA (tRNA) molecules are approximately 80 nucleotides in length. Their secondary structure includes four short double-helical elements and three loops (D, anti-codon, and T loops). The record is from Rfam by way of RNAcentral. Lineage: Eukaryota; Metazoa; Chordata; Mammalia; Rodentia; Sciuridae.
GGGGUUGUGGCUCAGUGGUAGAGCAUUCGCCUAGCAGGUGUGAGGCCCAGGUUCAAUCCUCAGCACCA